RNAcentral lists this ribosomal RNA (291 nucleotides) under uncultured bacterium. RNAcentral's name for it is "partial 16S ribosomal RNA". It matches the Rfam family "Bacterial small subunit ribosomal RNA", at positions 333 to 641 of the family's 1533-position model. The record is from RNAcentral.
GCAUACCUACGGGACGCAGCAGUGGGGAAUAUUGCACAAUGGGGGAAACCCUGAUGCAGCGACGCCGCGUGAGCGAUGAAGUAUUUCGGUAUGUAAAGCUCUAUCAGCAGGGAAGAAAAUGACGGUACCUGACUAAGAAGCCCUGGCUAACUACGUGCCAGCAGCCGCGGUAAUACGUAGGGGGCAAGCGUUAUCCGGAUUUACUGGGUGUAAAGGGAGCGUAGACGGCGGUGCAAGCCAGAUGUGAAAGCCCGGGGCUCAACCCCGGGAUUGCAUUUGGAACUGUGCUGC